UACGAAGGGGGCUAGCGUUGCUCGGAAUCACUGGGCGUAAAGGGUGCGUAGGCGGGUCUUUAAGUCAGGGGUGAAAUCCUGGAGCUCAACUCCGGAACUGCCUUUGAUACUGAGGAUCUUGAGUCCGGGAGAGGUGAGUGGAACUGCGAGUGUAGAGGUGAAAUUCGUAGAUAUUCGCAAGAACACCAGUGGCGAAGGCGGCUCACUGGCCCGGUACUGACGCUGAGGCACGAAAGCGUGGGGAGCAAACAGG
RNAcentral lists this ribosomal RNA (253 nucleotides) under uncultured bacterium. RNAcentral's name for it is "partial 16S ribosomal RNA". It matches the Rfam family "Bacterial small subunit ribosomal RNA", at positions 524 to 776 of the family's 1533-position model. The record is from RNAcentral.